This is a long non-coding RNA of Megalobrama amblycephala (Wuchang bream), 740 nucleotides long. RefSeq lists it as uncharacterized. The transcript is spliced from 2 exons. Lineage: Eukaryota; Metazoa; Chordata; Actinopteri; Cypriniformes; Xenocyprididae. The record is from RefSeq and is a predicted model, not a curated record.
AUGACUUUACCAGUUGGCGAUUGGCUCUUAUUUAGAAGGCGGGACUUAUUCCGCCAUAUUGCGCGUUACACUUUCUCCCAUUCAAAACAAUACGAGUGAAGCGUCUUGUGUUAUUCUGUAGUCUUUGGCUUUAUUCGGAAAGUCAAGAAAGUACCAAAGAACAAUCCAGUAAGUUGUGGGAAUCACUAUCAAGCACCAUUUAAAGGUGGGACGUCCUGUUCUGACACAUGGUCACAGGAGCACAAUGUGUGAGAAGGCAAGAUUAUUUGCUUUAGUAAUCUUAUUUAAAAUGACAUGAACUGUACAUAGAAAUAUGUGUGUAUGAAGGCGUAGAGAAGCCUUUUGUCAGGUUUUAUAAAUUAAAAAAAUUAUUUUGCAUGUUCAGAAAUUCAGUUUUUCUUUUUGUUGCCUCAGGGCAACUUUGUGCGAUAAGGGAUACUUUUGGAGGAUGUUUUGGACAAUACCUCACAUUGGCAAUAAUGUAUUAUAAGAAGGGAAGAUGCAGGGUUCCUGGGUGCACGGGAACACCCAAAGUGAUGUGAAAAAAAGUGUAACAUACACCUCUAUUUCACAGCAGAGAAGAACUGCUUUUAGAAGUUUUGUACGCAGUGAAAUCUUAUUACAUGAAGUACAUUUUAUGGCAUGACACUUCAUGAUACAGACCUAUGCAUGUAUCAGAUUCAAUAUAUCAAUGUCUUUCAAGUGUCUUUCCCUUUUUACUUAAUGAUUUCUUGACAUUU